RNAcentral lists this unclassified non-coding RNA (348 nucleotides) under soil metagenome. RNAcentral describes it as "partial contains 5.8S ribosomal RNA, internal transcribed spacer 2, and large subunit ribosomal RNA". The stretch from base 1 to 120 matches the Rfam family "5.8S ribosomal RNA", at positions 35 to 154 of the family's 154-position model. The record is from RNAcentral.
GAUGAAGAACGCAGUGAAAUGCGAUACGUAAUGUGAAUUGCAGAAUUCAGUGAAUCAUCGAAUCUUUGAACGCACAUUGCGCCCAUCAGUAUUCUGUUGGGCAUGCCUGUCCGAGCGUCAUUUCAACCCUCAGGGCCCGUUCGCGGGAACUGGUGUUGGGGAUCGGCCUCCCCCCGGAGGCCGGCCCCGAAAUGCAGUGGCGGCUCUACCGCGAUCUCCUCUGUGUAGUAGCGAUACCUCGCAGCUGGAUAGUGGUGGUGCCACGCCGUAAAAUCCCAACUUUACCAAGGUUGACCUCGGAUCAGGUAGGAAUACCCGCUGAACUUAAGCAUAUCAAUAAGCGGAGGA